Molecule: ribosomal RNA, 498 nt
Filed under: uncultured bacterium
Lineage: Bacteria
Description: partial 16S ribosomal RNA
Rfam family: Bacterial small subunit ribosomal RNA
Source: RNAcentral
GACGAACGCUGGCGGCGUGCCUAAUACAUGCAAGUCGAGCGGACGGAUGGGAGCUUGCUCCCAGACCGUCAGCGGCGGACGGGUUAGUAACACGUGGGCAACCUUCCUGUAAGACUGGGAUAACUCCGGGAAACCGGGGCUAAUACCGGAUAACUCUUUCCCUCACAUGAGGGAAAGCUGAAAGAUGGCAUCUCGCUAUCACUUACAGAUGGGCCCGCGGCGCAUUAGCUAGUUGGUGAGGUAACGGCUCACCAAGGCGACGAUGCGUAGCCGACCUGAGAGGGUGAUCGGCCACACUGGGACUGAGACACGGCCCAGACUCCUACGGGAGGCAGCAGUAGGGAAUCUUCCGCAAUGGACGAAAGUCUGACGGAGCAACGCCGCGUGAGUGAUGAAGGUUUUCGGAUCGUAAAACUCUGUUGUCAGGGAAGAACAAGUACCGGAGUAACUGCCGGUACCUUGACGGUACCUGACCAGAAAGCCACGGCUAACUACGUG